UCCAAGGCUAAAUACUCCUGACUGACCGAUAGUGAACCAGUACCGUGAGGGAAAGGCGAAAAGAACCCCGGCGAGGGGAGUGAAAAAGAACCUGAAACCGUGUACGUACAAGCAGUGGGAGCACGCUUAGGCGUGUGACUGCGUACCUUUUGUAUAAUGGGUCAGCGACUUAUAUUCUGUAGCAAGGUUAACCGAAUAGGGGAGCCGAAGGGAAACCGAGUCUUAACUGGGCGUUAAGUUGCAGGGUAUAGACCCGAAACCCGGUGAUCUAGCCAUGGGCAGGUUGAAGGUUGGGUAACACUAACUGGAGGACCGAACCGACUAAUGUUGAAAAAUUAGCGGAUGACUUGUGGCUGGGGGUGAAAGGCCAAUCAAACCGGGAGAUAGCUGGUUCUCCCCGAAAGCUAUUUAGGUAGCGCCUCGUGAAUUCAUCUCCGGGGGUAGAGCACUGUUUCGGCAAGGGGGUCAUCCCGACUUACCAACCCGAUGCAAACUGCGAAUACCGGAGAAUGUUAUCACGGGAGACACACGGCGGGUGCUAACGUCCGUCGUGAAGAGGGAAACAACCCAGACCGCCAGCUAAGGUCCCAAAGUCAUGGUUAAGUGGGAAACGAUGUGGGAAGGCCCAGACAGCCAGGAUGUUGGCUUAGAAGCAGCCAUCAUUUAAAGAAAGCGUAAUAGCUCACUGGUCGAGUCGGCCUGCGCGGAAGAUGUAACGGGGCUAAACCAUGCACCGAAGCUGCGGCAGCGACACUAUGUGUUGUUGGGUAGGGGAGCGUUCUGUAAGCCUGUGAAGGUGUGCUGUGAGGCAUGCUGGAGGUAUCAGAAGUGCGAAUGCUGACAUAAGUAACGAUAAAGCGGGUGAAAAGCCCGCUCGCCGGAAGACCAAGGGUUCCUGUCCAACGUUAAUCGGGGCAGGGUGAGUCGACCCCUAAGGCGAGGCCGAAAGGCGUAGUCGAUGGGAAACAGGUUAAUAUUCCUGUACUUGGUGUUACUGCGAAGGGGGGACGGAGAAGGCUAUGUUGGCCGGGCGACGGUUGUCCCGGUUUAAGCGUGUAGGCUGGUUUUCCAGGCAAAUCCGGAAAAUCAAGGCUGAGGCGUGAUGACGAGGCACUACGGUGCUGAAGCAACAAAUGCCCUGCUUCCAGGAAAAGCCUCUAAGCAUCAGGUAACAUCAAAUCGUACCCCAAACCGACACAGGUGGUCAGGUAGAGAAUACCAAGGCGCUUGAGAGAACUCGGGUGAAGGAACUAGGCAAAAUGGUGCCGUAACUUCGGGAGAA
This 1282-nucleotide ribosomal RNA is filed under the name Escherichia coli. RNAcentral's name for it is "partial 23S ribosomal RNA". It matches the Rfam family "Bacterial large subunit ribosomal RNA", at positions 459 to 1744 of the family's 2925-position model. Lineage: Bacteria; Pseudomonadati; Pseudomonadota; Gammaproteobacteria; Enterobacterales; Enterobacteriaceae. The record is from RNAcentral.